This 199-nucleotide small nuclear RNA is filed under the name Oryza longistaminata (longstamen rice). Its description in RNAcentral is "snRNA U2". It matches the Rfam family "U2 spliceosomal RNA". Rfam says of the family: U2 is a small nuclear RNA (snRNA) component of the spliceosome (involved in pre-mRNA splicing). Complementary binding between U2 snRNA (in an area lying towards the 5' end but 3' to hairpin I) and the branchpoint sequence (BPS) of the intron results the bulging out of an unpaired adenosine, on the BPS, which initiates a nucleophilic attack at the intronic 5' splice site, thus starting the first of two transesterification reactions that mediate splicing. Lineage: Eukaryota; Viridiplantae; Streptophyta; Magnoliopsida; Poales; Poaceae. The record is from RNAcentral.
GUACCUUUCUCGGCCUUUUGGCUAAGAUUAAAUGUAGUAUCUGUUUUUAUCAGUUUAAUAUCUGAUAAAGGGCCAUGAGCCUAUGAUGAUAUUAAAUUUAUUUUUCAUUAUGGGGGAGGGUUCAUUAUAGUGGCUUGCCAUUGGAACCCUCAUGUGUCGCUCAAGCGUUGCACUAUAGCAUGAGCUUGGCGCACCCCAA